UAGAUAUCAAUAAGCGGAGGAAAAGAAACCAACAGGGAUUGCCCUAGUAACGGCGAGUGAAGCGGCAACAGCUCAAAUUUGAAAUCUGGCGCAAGCCCGAGUUGUAAUUUGUAGAGGAUGCUUCUGGGUAGCGACCGAUCUAAGUUCCUUGGAACAGGACGUCAUAGAGGGUGAGAAUCCCGUAUGUGACCGGCCCGCACCCUUUACGUAGCUCCUUCGACGAGUCGAGUUGUUUGGGAAUGCAGCUCUAAAUGGGAGGUAAAUUUCUUCUAAAGCUAAAUACCGGCCAGAGACCGAUAGCGCACAAGUAGAGUGAUCGAAAGAUGAAAAGUACUUUGGAAAGAGAGUUAAAAAGCACGUGAAAUUGUUGAAAGGGAAGCGCCUGCAACCAGACUUCGCGGCAGUGUUCCGCCGGUCUUCUGACCGGUUCAUUCUCUGUCGCGAGGCCAUCAUCGUCUGGGCCCGCCGGAUAAGACCUGAGGAAUGUGGCUCCCCCUCGGGGGAGUGUUAUAGCCUCUGGUGAUGCGGCGUGGCUCGGGCGAGGUCCGCGCUUCGGCAAGGAUGAUGGCGUAAUGGUUGUCGGCGGCCCGUCUUGAAACACGGACCAAGGAGUCUAACAUCUAUGCGAGUGUUUGGG
This 637-nucleotide ribosomal RNA is filed under the name Cercospora sp. C1/10. RNAcentral describes it as "LSU rRNA". It matches the Rfam family "Eukaryotic large subunit ribosomal RNA", at positions 35 to 698 of the family's 3401-position model. The record is from RNAcentral. Lineage: Eukaryota; Fungi; Ascomycota; Dothideomycetes; Mycosphaerellales; Mycosphaerellaceae.